Molecule: ribosomal RNA, 532 nt
Filed under: bacterium enrichment culture clone Jdg007
Lineage: Bacteria
Also listed under: 1 other name
Description: bacterial SSU rRNA
Rfam family: Bacterial small subunit ribosomal RNA
Source: RNAcentral
UUAGAGUUUGAUCAUGGCUCAGAUUGAACGCUGGCGGCAGGCCUAACACAUGCAAGUCGAACGGUAACAGGAAUCAGCUUGCUGAUUCGCUGACGAGUGGCGGACGGGUGAGUAAUGUCUGGGAAACUGCCUGAUGGAGGGGGAUAACUACUGGAAACGGUAGCUAAUACCGCAUAACGUCGCAAGACCAAAGAGGGGGACCUUCGGGCCUCUUGCCAUCGGAUGUGCCCAGAUGGGAUUAGCUAGUAGGUGGGGUAACGGCUCACCUAGGCGACGAUCCCUAGCUGGUCUGAGAGGAUGACCAGCCACACUGGAACUGAGACACGGUCCAGACUCCUACGGGAGGCAGCAGUGGGGAAUAUUGCACAAUGGGCGCAAGCCUGAUGCAGCCAUGCCGCGUGUAUGAAGAAGGCCUUCGGGUUGUAAAGUACUUUCAGCGGGGAGGAAGGGAGUAAAGUUAAUACCUUUGCUCAUUGACGUUACCCGCAGAAGAAGCACCGGCUAACUCCGUGCCAGCAGCCGCGGUAAUACA